RNAcentral lists this ribosomal RNA (500 nucleotides) under Pseudomonas sp. RNAcentral describes it as "bacterial SSU rRNA". The record is from RNAcentral. Lineage: Bacteria; Pseudomonadati; Pseudomonadota; Gammaproteobacteria; Pseudomonadales; Pseudomonadaceae.
AGCUUGCUCCUGGAUUCAGCGGCGGACGGGUGAGUAAUGCCUAGGAAUCUGCCUGGUAGUGGGGGACAACGUUUCGAAAGGAACGCUAAUACCGCAUACGUCCUACGGGAGAAAGCAGGGGACCUUCGGGCCUUGCGCUAUCAGAUGAGCCUAGGUCGGAUUAGCUAGUUGGUGAGGUAAUGGCUCACCAAGGCKACGAUCCGUAACUGGUCUGAGAGGAUGAUCAGUCACACUGGAACUGAGACACGGUCCAGACUCCUACGGGAGGCAGCAGUGGGGAAUAUUGGACAAUGGGCGAAAGCCUGAUCCAGCCAUGCCGCGUGUGUGAAGAAGGUCUUCGGAUUGUAAAGCACUUUAAGUUGGGAGGAAGGGUUGUAGAUUAAUACUCUGCAAUUUUGACGUUACCGACAGAAUAAGCACCGGCUAACUCUGUGCCAGCAGCCGCGGUAAUACAGAGGGUGCAAGCGUUAAUCGGAAUUACUGGGCGUAAAGCGCGCGUA